Molecule: ribosomal RNA, 1175 nt
Filed under: Chaetomium globosum
Lineage: Eukaryota; Fungi; Ascomycota; Sordariomycetes; Sordariales; Chaetomiaceae
Description: eukaryotic LSU rRNA
Rfam family: Eukaryotic large subunit ribosomal RNA
Source: RNAcentral
AUGCUGGNAUANAGCGGCANCNGCUCAAAUUUGAAAUCUGGCUUCCGNCCGAGNUGUAAUUUGNAGAGGAAGCUUUAGGCGCGGNNCCUUCUGAGUCCCCUGGAACGGGGCGCCAUANAGGGUGAGAGCCCCGUAUAGUUGGAUGCCUAGCCUGNGUAAAGCUCCUUCGACGAGUCNAGUAGUUUGGGAAUGCUGCUCAAAAUGGGAGGUAAAUUUCUUCUAAAGCUAAAUACCGGCCAGAGACCGAUAGCGCACANNUAGAGUGAUCGAAAGAUGAAAAGCACUUUGAAAAGAGGGUUAAAUAGCACGUGAAAUUGUUGAAAGGNAAGCGCUUGUGACCAGACUUGCGCCGGGCGGAUCAUCCGGUGUUCUCACCGGUGCACUCCGCCCGGCUCAGGCCAGCAUCGGUUCUCGCGGGGGGAUAAAGGUCCUGGGAACGUAGCUCCUCCGGGAGUGUUAUAGCCCGGGGCGUAAUGCCCUCGCGGGGACCGAGGUUCGCGCAUCUGCAAGGAUGCUGGCGUAAUGGUCAUCAGCGACCCGUCUUGAAACACGGACCAAGGAGUCAAGGUUUUGCGCGAGUGUUUGGGUGUAAAACCCGCACGCGUAAUGAAAGUGAACGUAGGUGAGAGCUUCGGCGCAUCAUCGACCGAUCCUGAUGUUUUCGGAUGGAUUUGAGUAGGAGCGNUAAGCCUUGGACCCGAAAGAUGGUGAACUAUGCUUGGAUAGGGUGAAGCCAGAGGAAACUCUGGUGGAGGCUCGCAGCGGUUCUGACGUGCAAAUCGAUCGUCAAAUCUGAGCAUGGGGGCGAAAGACUAAUCGAACCAUCUAGUAGCUGGUUACCGCCGAAGUUUCCCUCAGGAUAGCAGUGUUGUCUUCAGUUUUAUGAGGUAAAGCGAAUGAUUAGGGACUCGGGGGCGCUUUUUAGCCUUCAUCCAUUCUCAAACUUUAAAUAUGUAAGAAGCCCUUGUUACUUAAUUGANNGUGGGCAUUCGAAUGUACCAACACUAGUGGGCCAUUUUUGGUAAGCAGAACUGGCGAUGCGGGAUGANCCGANCGCGGGGUUAAGGUGCCGGAGUGGACGCUCAUCAGACACCACAAAAGGCGUUAGUNCAUCUUGACAGCAGGACGGUGGCCAUGGAAGUCGGAAUCCGCUAAGGNCUGUGUAACAACUCACC